This 250-nucleotide ribosomal RNA is filed under the name uncultured prokaryote. RNAcentral's name for it is "partial 16S ribosomal RNA". It matches the Rfam family "Bacterial small subunit ribosomal RNA", at positions 524 to 773 of the family's 1533-position model. The record is from RNAcentral.
UACGUAGGGUGCAAGCAUUAAUCGGAUUUAUUGGGCGUAAAGGGCGCGCAGGCGGGGAUGCCAGUCAGAUGUGAAAUCCCGGAGCUCAACUCCGGAACAGCAUUUGAAACUACAUCUCUAGAGGGUAGACGGAGAGAACGGAAUUCCACAAGUAGCGGUGAAAUGCGUAGAUAUGUGGAAGAACACCAGUGGCGAAGGCGGUUCUCUAGUUUAUACCUGACGCUGAGGCGCGAAAGCAAGGGGAGCAAAC